GAUGAACGCUGGCGGCGUGCCUAAUACAUGCAAGUCGAGCGAACAGACGAGGAGCUUGCUCCUCUGACGUUAGCGGCGGACGGGUGAGUAACACGUGGAUAACCUACCUAUAAGACUGGGUUAACUUCGGGAAACCGGAGCUAAUACCGGAUAAUAUAUUGAACCGCAUGGUUCAAUAGUGAAAGACGGUUUUGCUGUCACUUAUAGAUGGAUCCGCGCCGCAUUAGCUAGUUGGUAAGGUAACGGCUUACCAAGGCAACGAUGCGUAGCCGACCUGAGAGGGUGAUCGGCCACACUGGAACUGAGACACGGUCCAGACUCCUACGGGAGGCAGCAGUAGGGAAUCUUCCGCAAUGGGCGAAAGCCUGACGGAGCAACGCCGCGUGAGUGAUGAAGGUCUUCGGAUCGUAAAACUCUGUUAUUAGGGAAGAACAAUUGUGUAAGUAACUAUGCACGUCUUGACGGUACCUAAUCAGAAAGCCACGGCUAACUACGUG
This 497-nucleotide ribosomal RNA is filed under the name uncultured bacterium. RNAcentral's name for it is "partial 16S ribosomal RNA". It matches the Rfam family "Bacterial small subunit ribosomal RNA", at positions 28 to 507 of the family's 1533-position model. The record is from RNAcentral.